RNAcentral lists this ribosomal RNA (253 nucleotides) under uncultured bacterium. Its description in RNAcentral is "partial 16S ribosomal RNA". It matches the Rfam family "Bacterial small subunit ribosomal RNA", at positions 524 to 776 of the family's 1533-position model. The record is from RNAcentral.
UACGUAUGGUGCAAGCGUUAUCCGGAUUUACUGGGUGUAAAGGGAGCGCAGGCGGCACGGCAAGCCUGAUGUGAAAGCCCGCGGCCCAACCGCGGGACUGCAUUGGGAACUACCGGGCUGGAGUGCCGGAGAGGUAGACGGAAUUCCUAGUGUAGCGGUGAAAUGCGUAGAUAUUAGGAGGAACACCAGUGGCGAAGGCGGUCUGCUGGACAGCAACUGACGCUGAGGCGCGAAAGCGUGGGGAGCAAACAGG